UUUCCUCCCCUGCCUGAAUAGAAAUGCCACUGCUGUUACUGGGGAGUUGAUUUUAAACUUCGAGUGGAGAAAGAAUCAAAGGGAAAGUGUAACCAC
This is a long non-coding RNA of Gavialis gangeticus (Gharial), 96 nucleotides long. RefSeq lists it as uncharacterized. The record is from RefSeq and is a predicted model, not a curated record. Lineage: Eukaryota; Metazoa; Chordata; Crocodylia; Gavialidae. The transcript is spliced from 3 exons.